CUAGCAGCUAACACCAGACCCACACCGCACAGCCAAGACACUCUGUGGUGGACUCUGUGUUGGGGACUCUGUGUUGGACUCUGUGUUGGACUCUGUGUUGUGGACUCUGUGUUGUGGACUCUGUGUUGUGGACUCUGUGUUGGGGACUCUGUGUUGGACUCUGUGUUGUGGACUCUGUGUUGGGGACUCUGUGUUGGACUCUGUGUUGUGGACUCUGUGUUGGACUCUGUGUUGUGGACUCUGUGUUGGACUCUGUGUUGUGGACUCUGUGUUGUGGACUCUGUGUUGGACUCUGUGUUGUGGACUCUGUGUUGGACUCUGUGUUGGACUCUGUGUUGUGGACUCUGUGUUGUGGACUCUGUGUUGGACUCUGUGUUGUGGACUCUGUGUUGUGGACUCUGUGUUGGACUCUGUUGGACUCUGUGUUGUGGACUCUGUGUUGGACUCUGUGUUGUGGACUCUGUGUUGUGGACUCUGUGUUGGACUCUUGGACUCUGUGUUGUGGACUCUGUGUUGUGGACUCUGUGUUGGACUCUAUGUUGUGGACUCUGUGUUGGACUCUGUGUUGGACUCUGUGUUGUGGACUCUGUGUUGUGGACUCUGUGUUGGCUGUUGGACUCUGUGUUGUGGACUCUGUGUUGUGGACUCUGUGUUGGACUCUGUGUUGUGGACUCUGUGUUGGACUCUGUGUUGUGGACUCUGUGUUGGACUCUGUGUUGGACUCUGUGUUGUGGACUCUGUGUUGGACUCUGUGUUGGACUCUGUGUUGUGGACUCUGUGUUGUGGACUCUGUGUUGGACUCUGUGUUGGACUCUGUGUUGUGGACUCUGUGUUGGACUCUGUGUUGGACUCUGUGUUGUGGACUCUGUGUUGGACUCUGUGUUGUGGACUCUGUGUUGGACUCUGUGUUGUGGACUCUGUGUUGUGGACUCUGUGUUGGACUCUGUGUUGUGGACUCUGUGUUGCCCACUGUUGGCACUCGGGAGCAUAAAGGUCACAACCUUUGACCCUCAUCCUACAUAG
Molecule: long non-coding RNA, 1023 nt
Filed under: Dicentrarchus labrax (European seabass)
Lineage: Eukaryota; Metazoa; Chordata; Actinopteri; Moronidae
Description: lncRNA (ENSDLAG00005033226.1)
Source: RNAcentral